AUGCCUCACUUUCUUUUCACACCCCAAAAGUGGUUUUCACGAUAGAGAAUAGAUAUCUCAUGGUGAAAUCACUUUUUUUGUUGCAUAAAAUAAAUUCCUUCUUAUGGUAUGGCGUCAAGAAAGAUUGGAUAAGGUCAAACCUCAUCCUGAUAAAAAAUAAGUUUCAAAUCAAAUUUGAAACUUUCCUUAUCUUCUUAUCCAUACCCUUUUGGGCAUUUAGAAGGGGGCAUUACCUACCUUUGGCAUGAGAUAUCUCAUGCAAAAAAAGAAAUAAGAGGUGCUUUCUCGUGGGCAGUGUGAUAUCAUGGGUGGGCAAGAGAGAGAGAGAGUCCCAGUAGACUGGAACUCCUCCUUUUGGUGCUAAAUUGAUUCCCAAACAAAUCAGAUUUGCUUGCACCCAAUAAGAGGAAAAAAUCCAAUCAAAUUAGGAACCCAAUC
Molecule: long non-coding RNA, 438 nt
Filed under: Elaeis guineensis (African oil palm)
Lineage: Eukaryota; Viridiplantae; Streptophyta; Magnoliopsida; Arecales; Arecaceae
Description: long non-coding RNA (EGUI_LNC009484)
Source: RNAcentral